RNAcentral lists this ribosomal RNA (300 nucleotides) under uncultured Bacillus sp. RNAcentral describes it as "bacterial SSU rRNA". It matches the Rfam family "Bacterial small subunit ribosomal RNA", at positions 496 to 795 of the family's 1533-position model. Lineage: Bacteria; Bacillati; Bacillota; Bacilli; Caryophanales; Bacillaceae. The record is from RNAcentral.
CAAAAGUGUGGGCGUGGAGCGGCGUUAAAACAGAGGUGGUAAAUGUUGUCCGGAUGUAUUGGGGGUAAAGGGCAUGUAGGUGGUUUUGUAAGUCAAAGGUGAAAUGGCCCGGCUUAACCAGGUCAUUGCCUUUGAAACUGCAGGACUUGAGUGCGGAAGGGGAAAGCGGAAUUCCCAGUGUAGCGGUGAAAUGCGUAGAUAUUGGGAGGAACACCGGUGGCGAAGGCGGCUUUCUGGUCCGAUACUGACACUGAGAUGCGAAAGCCAGGGGAGCAAACGGGAUUAGAUACCCGUGUAGUC